CCCUGAGAUGGGCCUUCACUACUGAUUAGUAAUGAGAAGUCUUGACAUUAGUCACAAGUGCAGAAAGAGACUGUGCUGUUCUGGGAUCCUGGGAACUGAGUGCUUUCCUUGGAGGCUCUGGCAGAAAGCUGAAUGCUAAAUGAAUUGAUCCAGAGAUCUCAGAAGAUGUUCUAAAUAUCUUCGUGUCAAACACAAGACUGGCCAAACCAAAAGGACUUGUGAUACAUGUCCAGGAAAGAACAUAUAUACAAUAUAUAUGCAAGACCAAUAUAG
RNAcentral lists this long non-coding RNA (273 nucleotides) under Sarcophilus harrisii (Tasmanian devil). Its description in RNAcentral is "lncRNA (ENSSHAG00000028012.1)". The record is from RNAcentral. Lineage: Eukaryota; Metazoa; Chordata; Mammalia; Dasyuromorphia; Dasyuridae.